This is a non-coding RNA of Heterocephalus glaber (naked mole-rat), 1375 nucleotides long. NCBI's taxonomy places the organism in Eukaryota, Metazoa, Chordata, Mammalia, Rodentia, Bathyergidae. The record is from RefSeq and is a predicted model, not a curated record.
CAGGGGUGCCUUGCUGCCCUCGGUCCGUCCCACCCGCCCGGCGGCCCUGGCGCUCACGCGUGGCGUGCGUGGCGGCGCCCCGUGUUAUAUAACGCUUAUGUAACCUCCAGGCGGCGCGCGCUUCUCGGGUCACGCAGACGCCGUCCGUCCGCGUGGGAGGCAGGAUCCUAGGGGCCUGCGCCCCCACCCUGCCUGGGUCCUCGUCCUGAUUCCGGGCGUGUGCAGGGGGCUGGGGGACCCGGGCCCGCUCCACACAGGCGGCAGGGGGCCCAGAAAGGGGUUGGCUGGGGUCCCCCUGCCUUCUGUGCCUUUAUUUCCCCUGUCCCGGGGACCCUGUGGUGAAGCGGAAGCAGUUCUUGUCUUUGGAGGCCAGUUGUCCGCGUGGCAGGUGCGUGAGGUGUGGGGAGAGGACCCCCAGGGUAGCAGCAGAGGAACGCAGGGUACAAAGGUCUGCUAAAGAGGCAGGAGCGCGCUCGGGCCUUGAGGUCCCGAGCAGCGGAGACUAGAAGCUUGGUGGUCCCGUCAUAAGACCUUCACGGCAGCCCUGGUGUUGGGGGCGGUCAGGAAAGGGGUGCAGGGACCGGAUCAGGCGGAAAGAUAAACAUGGUGUUCUUUUACUGUACUCUCCACUGCGCUGUCCCUGGUUACCGGGGCAACAGAAGCAGUGAUGAAAAUCAUGCCUUUGGUUCAGUGGAAAAAUCUGGCUCCUCCUCCCGACUCUUCUCUCUCUGAUCGCCUGUGACCCAUUGGGAGGAUGAUGCUUCCAGGGAUUGGAGACCCCACGCAUCCCUCGUGUGCCCCCCUUCCCGUUCUGUCGUCUGCCGCUUUCCUGCAUCCCUGUAUCCCCCCAGGUCGCAGUCGGCAGUUGCGUAGGAGUUGGAGUAGGUGGGGGCAGGCUGUGGACGUCAUCGCAGGCCGGGAGAGCAGAGCGUGGGCACAGAUGUGGAUGCGGGAGAGACUGGCGUAGGGAGGGAACGGAUGGAUGGGCUCGGCCGAGCUGAGGCUUGUUCUGGGGCCCAGGAGCGGAGCAAAGGACAGGGCCACCUGGACUCCUGGACCAGCUCUGCCAAUCACCCACAUUUUCUGUCAAACGGUCUUCUCUUUUUGAAGUUCAGGUUUGUGUUUCUGUUUUCUUCUCUCCACCAACUGUGCUCAGACACCGUGGGAAGCACAGCUGUAUAGAUGCAUGUCAUCUCCUUGACCUUUGCCAUACUGUCCUCGUACAGCCCCAGGAAGCGCUGUUGAGAGGUGCCACAGGUCUGUGGCCUCCCCUGCUGUAGGCAGAAGAGCAAACUUCCCAGGGAUCAGUACUUGGCAAACUGUGGCUUAUGGCCAGAUGCUUGUUUUUUAAAUAAAGUUUUAUUGGAACAUAGUA